GUGCCAGCAGCCGCGGUAAUACGGAGGGUGCAAGCGUUAUCCGGAUUCACUGGGUUUAAAGGGUGCGUAGGAGGGCAGGUAAGUCAGUGGUGAAAUCUCCGAGCUUAACUCGGAAACUGCCGUUGAUACUAUCUGUCUUGAAUAUUGUGGAGGUGAGCGGAACAUGUCAUGUAGCGGUGAAAUGCUUAGAUAUGACAUAGAACACCAAUUGCGAAGGCAGCUCGCUACACAUAUAUUGACUCUGAGGCACGAAAGCGUGGGGAUCAAACAGGAUUAGAUACCCUCGUAGUCC
Molecule: ribosomal RNA, 292 nt
Filed under: uncultured bacterium
Lineage: Bacteria
Description: partial 16S ribosomal RNA
Rfam family: Bacterial small subunit ribosomal RNA
Source: RNAcentral